GGGUGAGUAACACGUGAGCAACCUGCCUUUCAGAGGGGGAUAACGUUUGGAAACGAACGCUAAUACCGCAUAACGUAUACGGAUGGCAUCGUCUGUAUACCAAAGGAGCAAUCCGCUGAAAGAUGGGCUCGCGUCCGAUUAGCUAGAUGGUGAGGUAACGGCCCACCAUGGCGACGAUCGGUAGCCGGACUGAGAGGUUGACCGGCCACAUUGGGACUGAGACACGGCCCAGACUCCUACGGGAGGCAGCAGUGAGGGAUAUUGGGCAAUGGGGGAAACCCUGACCCAGCGACGCCGCGUGAGGGAAGACGGUCUUCGGAUUGUAAACCUCUGUCUUUGGGGACGAAAAAGGACGGUACCCAAGGAGGAAGCUCCGGCUAACUACGUGCCAGCAGCCGCGGUAAUACGUAGGGAGCGAGCGUUGUCCGGAAUUACUGGGUGUAAAGGGAGCGUAGGCGGGAAGGCAAGUUGGAUGUGAAAACUGUGGGCUUAACCGACAGACUGCAUUCAAAACUGUUUUUCUUGAGUGAAGUAGAGGCAAGCGGAAUUCCUAGUGUAGCGGUGAAAUGCGUAGAUAUUAGGAGGAACACCAGUGGCGAAGGCGGCUUGCUGGGCUUUUACUGACGCUGAGGCUCGAAAGUGUGGGGAGCAAACAGGAUUAGAUACCCUGGUAGUCCACACCGUAAACGAUGAUUACUAGGUGUGGGGGCGUC
RNAcentral lists this ribosomal RNA (713 nucleotides) under uncultured bacterium. RNAcentral's name for it is "bacterial SSU rRNA". It matches the Rfam family "Bacterial small subunit ribosomal RNA", at positions 104 to 832 of the family's 1533-position model. The record is from RNAcentral.